This 204-nucleotide long non-coding RNA is filed under the name Mustela putorius furo (domestic ferret). Its description in RNAcentral is "lncRNA (ENSMPUG00000027261.1)". Lineage: Eukaryota; Metazoa; Chordata; Mammalia; Carnivora; Mustelidae. The record is from RNAcentral.
GCCCAGCGUGCCCCAAGCCCAGCUCUGCUUGGUGCCUCCAUUACAGACCUCAGCUGCCAAGGCCAUGAGCAGACAAGCCUAAAAUCUGAGUUUGGUCUAGAAGCUGUACGGGGUCUCCUGGGUACCCCCACUUCACUCCUGACCCUCCUCUAAGAAUCUCCAUGCAGUGGAAAGGUGAGAUAUCUCAUCCCACCAACUUGGAGC